GAUAAACGUUUGCGGCGUGCCUGAUGCAUGCAAGUCGAACGCUCUGAUUUUUCGCAAGAUUGAUCAGAGAGUGGCGAACGGCUGAGUAACGCGUAAGUAACCUACCCUUAAGUGGGGGAUAACCUGUUGAAAAGCAGGCUAAUACCGCAUGUGCUGGUAUUCGUUAGUUUACCAGUAAAGCUUUUGCGCUUGAGGAGGGGCUUGCGUCUGAUUAGCUAGUUGGUAGGGUAAUGGCCUACCAAGGCGAUGAUCAGUAGCUGGUCUAAGAGGACAACCAGCCAGACGGGGACUGAGAUACGGCCCUGACUCCUACGGGAGGCAG
Molecule: ribosomal RNA, 322 nt
Filed under: uncultured Chloroflexota bacterium
Lineage: Bacteria; Bacillati; Chloroflexota
Description: bacterial SSU rRNA
Rfam family: Bacterial small subunit ribosomal RNA
Source: RNAcentral